ACGGGAGGCAGCAGUGAGGAAUAUUGGUCAAUGGGCGGAAGCCUGAACCAGCCAAGUCGCGUGAAGGAUGAAGGUAUUAUGUAUUGUAAACUUCUUUAGACGUAGAGAAAUAAGAGGCUCGUGAGCCUUGAUGCUAGUAUACGUAGAAUAAGGAUCGGCUAACUCCGUGCCAGCAGCCGCGGUAAUACGGAGGAUCCGAGCGUUAUCCGGAUUUAUUGGGUUUAAAGGGAGCGCAGGCGGAGAUGCAAGCCAGCCGUAAAAUCGUUGAGCUCAACUCAAUCUCGCGGUUGGAACUGCAUCCCUUGAGUGCGGGAGAGGCAGGUGGAAUUCGUGGUGUAGCGGUGAAAUGCAUAGAUAUCACGAAGAACUCCGAUUGCGAAGGCAGCCUGCUGGUCCGUUACUGACGCUCAUGCUCGAAGGUGCGGGUAUCAAACAGGAUUAGAUACCCUGGUA
This 453-nucleotide ribosomal RNA is filed under the name uncultured Bacteroides sp. Its description in RNAcentral is "partial 16S ribosomal RNA". It matches the Rfam family "Bacterial small subunit ribosomal RNA", at positions 341 to 792 of the family's 1533-position model. The record is from RNAcentral. Lineage: Bacteria; Pseudomonadati; Bacteroidota; Bacteroidia; Bacteroidales; Bacteroidaceae.